Molecule: long non-coding RNA, 1579 nt
Organism: Camelus dromedarius (Arabian camel)
Lineage: Eukaryota; Metazoa; Chordata; Mammalia; Artiodactyla; Camelidae
Exons: 5
Source: RefSeq, a predicted model, not a curated record
GAAGGCGACCAUCAGGGUGUGGGAGUGAGGCAAGUUCCCCAAGACACAGCAGGGGCACGCCCAGCAGCAGGGCUUGGAAACAGGCUGGCCUAAUUUGCAGCUGAAAUAGGGCCAGGAAAGUCUCAGAGUCAACUGGAGAAGUAGAAAUGGUGGGGACCAACCAGCACAGUGGUCCAGGAUGACCUGCAAAUGCCUCAGCUCCAGAAGAAGAAGAGACAUCAGAGGGGCACAUGCAGAGGAAAGACCAUGUGAGGACACACAGAGAGAAGGUGGCCGCCUGCAAGUCAAAGAGGAAGGCCUCAGGGAACACCACCCCGCCAACACCUUGAUCUUGGACAUCCAGUCUCCAGACUGUGAGAAACAAAAAUCUGCUGUUUAAGCCCCCCGGUCUGUGGAAUUCUGUUACAGCGGCCCGAGUGAGCUGAUGCAGCUCUGAAAUGGAUGAAAAGUCCUCAGACCCAGCCUCUGCCUCCACCUGCCCUGAGGACCAGACUGUAAUUUUCACAGCGAUACCAUUUCCAGGUCAACUGGGGAGGCAGCCCUCUCAAGACAGGCGUACCCACUGGGGUGUCUCCACCAGUGUGACGGGAGACAGAAGAAAGUUCUCCAACAAGGUGGUGGCGGCGGGGAGGCAGGGCCCUCUGAAGCUGCAUUUGGAUUGCAAGAUUUUUCUUAGAGGCAGUGCUGAUUUCAGGGGCCACUGCUGAGUCUUCUAAGGGCCAGAGGGGAGGGCCCCUCCUCCCAGUUCUCCCCCUGGUCCUUCUGAUGCUGAAAAGUCAGCUUCCCCACGGGGCGGCAGGGACCCAGCCCUCCUGCCCCGGCAGCCGUUGUUUCAGAGGCCCUCCCACGGGGUCUAACCUCGCACCUCCACUUUCUGGAAGUUUCUGGCCAGCAUCUCACACUGCCUUCCACGAGCUUGUCCAUCUCCCUCUAUUUAAGGAUCUUUUAAAGCAUUUAAAACAAAAUUAACAGUAAGGAAAUUGGAACGUGUUCCUAACAUUGUGCCAAGCACUGUAGCAGGCGUUUUCGUGUACGGCAACUCACUUGGGGAAGUUAGUUGGUCUCUGUGCCUCAGUGUCCUUGUCUGUACAAGUAAACCUCAUGGUGCCUGUCCUUAGUCACAGGGCUAUUGUAAAGAAGGGCGGAUGUUAUGCACGUAAGAUGCUCAGAACAAGGGUUGGAAAGUGCUCAAUAAAUGUGAGUAGUCGUUUCACUUACCACCCCCCUCCGCAUCCAGAUGGUUAUUUAGCCCAUUUUACAGAUGAGAAAAUGGAGGCUCAUGGAAAUGAAGCAAUCCUCGUGAAUCCCUCCUGGGGGAAGGGUCCGGCCACAGUUCGAACCAGGCCAGGCUCCUCCUCCACAUCCCACAUCCCUCCUGCCAGGCUGCAAAAGCGUUUCUGCAACCUAGACAGUGGUUAUCACCUCCCUGGUGUGUUUUCAUCACCUCCUUUCAAAUUCUCCUACACAGACCUGGGGCUUGCAAAUAGUUUUGAUUGCAACCCUUGGUAAGGACUGUUUUACAUCACAACCCGGAACAGAUAUGUAUGAAAGUUUCCUGAAGUGAUGCUUUCUCAUUCUG